Molecule: ribosomal RNA, 253 nt
Filed under: uncultured bacterium
Lineage: Bacteria
Description: partial 16S ribosomal RNA
Rfam family: Bacterial small subunit ribosomal RNA
Source: RNAcentral
UACGUAGGGUGCGAGCGUUAAUCGGAAUUACUGGGCGUAAAGCGUGCGCAGGCGGUGAUGUAAGACCGAUGUGAAAUCCCCGGGCUUAACCUGGGAACUGCGUUUGAAACUACAGGGCUAGAGUGUGGCAGAGGGGGGUGGAAUUCCACGUGUAGCAGUGAAAUGCGUAGAGAUGUGGAGGAACACCGAUGGCGAAGGCAGCCCCCUGGGUUAACACUGACGCUCAGGCACGAAAGCGUGGGGAGCAAACAGG